This 215-nucleotide unclassified non-coding RNA is filed under the name Hevea brasiliensis (rubber tree). The record is from RNAcentral. Lineage: Eukaryota; Viridiplantae; Streptophyta; Magnoliopsida; Malpighiales; Euphorbiaceae.
GAGAAGGACUGCGUUCUCCCUCUCCUCUCGAAGAUCCUCGGUUACGCCAUCGUUGCCGCCUCUACCACCGUCAAAGUCCCGCAGAUAUAUAAAAUUUUGAAGCACCAUAGUGUGAGGGGACUUAGUGUUGCUGCCUUUGAACUUGAAGUUGUUGGUUAUACAAUUGCCUUAUCUUAUUGUCUUCACAAAAGGCUUCCUUUUUCAGCAUAUGGAGA